Molecule: small nuclear RNA, 163 nt
Organism: Sorex araneus (European shrew)
Lineage: Eukaryota; Metazoa; Chordata; Mammalia; Eulipotyphla; Soricidae
Product: U1 spliceosomal RNA
Exons: 1
Source: RefSeq, a predicted model, not a curated record
AUACUUAAGUAGCAGAAGGAGAUACCAUGCUACUAAGAUGGUUUUCCCAGGGUGAAGUUCAUCCAUUACACUCCAGGUGUGGUGCUCCCUGAUAUUUUCCUUAAUGAGAAACUUGACUGCAUAAUUGGUGAUAGUAGGGUUACUGUGUCCAUGGUCUUCCCUG